Hippopotamus amphibius kiboko is the source of this 104-nucleotide small nuclear RNA. NCBI's taxonomy places the organism in Eukaryota, Metazoa, Chordata, Mammalia, Artiodactyla, Hippopotamidae. The record is from RefSeq and is a predicted model, not a curated record.
GUGCUCACUUCAGCAGCACAUAUACUAAAACUGGAAUGAUACAGAGAUUAGCAUGGCCCCUGUGCAACAACAAUAUGCAAAUUCGUGAAGCGUUCCAAAUUUUU